RNAcentral lists this unclassified non-coding RNA (155 nucleotides) under uncultured Phoma. RNAcentral's name for it is "sequence contains ITS2". The record is from RNAcentral. Lineage: Eukaryota; Fungi; Ascomycota.
ACAAAUUCAAGCUCAGCUUGGUGAUGGGUGUCUGUCCCGCCGUCGCGCGUGGACUCGCCUUAAAUGCAGUUGGCAGCUCCUCCCUCGGCUCUAAACGCAGCAGAAUUGUGUCGAGCGCCUUGAGGAUGGGCUUUCCAAGAAGCAAACCCCCCACA